Parus major (Great Tit) is the source of this 453-nucleotide long non-coding RNA. RefSeq lists it as uncharacterized. Lineage: Eukaryota; Metazoa; Chordata; Aves; Passeriformes; Paridae. The record is from RefSeq and is a predicted model, not a curated record. The transcript has 2 exons.
AAUAGAAGUAGAUGACUGCAACAGGACAGAGAGUGCGAAUCAUUGUUACUCGUCACAGAUGCUGUUUCCAGUUCAGGAUGUGCUUUUCUUGCCUAAUGGGUCUUUACAGAGACACUGCAGAGCCAGGGCUGGAAAAGAUCUGCAUUCUCUUCAGUGUCUGCUUUGCUGUGAGCAAGGUCUAACACGUUUACUGUACUGAAUGGAAUUUAAAGCAUUAUCUUGCUGACAAAAAUGCACAUGGCCUUGCUAGAUACCAAGUUAGCAAAUCGAGGAAUUGUAGGUUACCUGGAGGAAAAGUGUUCGAAGCUCUGUGGGUAAGACAGGUUGAAAUGAAAAUUUGGUCUGUUUUUGUCAAACUUAAUGUUCAUCUGAGAAACAUGUAUUCUCCAGACAUGUACAAGUAUAUUUAGGUAAGAACAGCCAUAUAAAAAGAAUUAUCUGUUUUUAAGAAGA